Onychostoma macrolepis is the source of this 2330-nucleotide RNA transcript. It is a transcript of the gene named NME/NM23 nucleoside diphosphate kinase 4, with no coding region annotated. Lineage: Eukaryota; Metazoa; Chordata; Actinopteri; Cypriniformes; Cyprinidae. The record is from RefSeq and is a predicted model, not a curated record. The transcript has 7 exons.
UGCACGCACGCCUCGUCUGAACACACUGUGAUUGGACGCGUGACUUUGACCUGUCAGGUGAAUGACCGCGCGCCUGCGCGCGUAACGGUCCGGGGUUAAAAGCAUUGGACCGCUCAUAAGUUUUGGAGUAGUAAAAGUGCUACUCGGCGAAGUUUUGGGACGAAUUUGACCUGGAAAUGAAAAUGAUGGCCGUGCGAUUUGCUCUUUGUGUUCACGUUGCGCGAGCGGCAAUACGGAGCUCCACGCGCGUUUUGGGGCAAGGACUCGCGCGCAGCCUCAGCACUGACUCAGAUUUUUCUGGCGUUAAAGAACGGACUUUGGUAGCUGUGAAGCCCGAUGGCGUUCAGAGGCGUCUGAUUGGUGAGAUCAUAAAGCGCUUUGAGCAGCGAGGAUUCCAAUUGGUUGGUCUGAAGAUGCUGCAGGCUUCUGACAAGCUUUUAGCUCAGCACUACGUCUCGCUGCAGAGGAAACCCUUCUACUCCAGCCUGCUUUACUACAUGACCUCUGGCCCAAUAGUCGCCAUGGUGUGGGAGGGGCAUAAUGUAGUGAGGUCAUCACGUAAGCUGGUGGGAGACACAGACCCUGCUGAAGCCGCACCGGGAACUAUUAGAGGAGAUUUCAGUGUUCACAUCAGCAGAAAUGUCAUCCAUGCAUCUGAUUCAGUGGAGGGAGCGGAGCGGGAGAUUUCACUGUGGUUUCAUCGCUCAGAGCUCAUCGACUGGGAGGGAUGCGAUCAUAAAAACAUUUAUCAUAUAUGAGGACAGUUAUUAAUUGAUUGGACUGGAGUGGUGUGGAUUAUCGUGAUUUAUCAGCUGUUUGGAUUCUCAUUCUGACGGCACCCAUUCACUGCAGAGGAUCCAUUAUGUAAUGCUAAAUUUCUCCAAAUCAUUUCAACUGAACACCAACCCAUCUACAUCUUGGAUGGCCUAAGGGUCACGCAAACACCCCGGCACCCGCCCCGGGCUCCAGCCCAACAGCCACUCGGGCCAAGUAACUCUUCGCCUGUAAGCUGUACUCCUCCCUCUCGCAAUCCCAUCUUCCCCCCGUAAUCCUUGGCAGUGACCAGCUCUGCCCCCCACCCUCAAGUUCAACUUCAACUGCCUGUGACAUCAUGUCUCGUUGCUGCGGGCAACCAGACAGUUGGGACGUGACUUUUCAGUUUCGGGGCCGUGCUUCAACUUUGCCUCUCUUUUCUCCGUUCCUGCCUCACAUUUCCGCAGUUCUUUUCUCAUGUUUCUGACUGGGCUGAGAGCGUUUCCCCGUACAGACAUGCAGUGUUCAAACACUUAAAGACGCACUUAAAAAUGUUUGAAUGUCACUACAUUAGACGAGCCUGUCUCUCAAACGCUGCAGGAUCUUUUAUCUUCUCCAAUGUCAUUUUUGUUCAGUGUCAUCUGAUGUUUGGGUGGUUUUUACAACUAUUAGUGCACAAAUUUCACCAACAUUUUUGCUCUGUGUGUCUUGACAAAACUAAUAAUUGUAAAAAUCCCCAAAACACCAAUGCAUUUUCUCAUUGCACAAGUAUUCAAACACUUAAAGUCACAUAAAAUGUUUGAAUGUCACUACAUUAGAGGAAGUGUAUCUGUGUGUAUCAAAUGCUGCAGGAUCUUUUCUCUUCACUAACUUCACUUUUGUUCAGUGUCUUUUGACAAAACUAGUGUUUUGGUGAUUUUUUUUUUUUUUUUAACAAUUGUUAAUGUCCUUUCUCAAUGCACAUUUUCUCAUUUACAGGAUCUUUUCUCUUCAUUACCAUCAUUUUUGCUUCGUGUCAUCUGAAAAAAAACUGGUGUUUUGGCAAUUUUUACAAUUAUUAGUUCACCACCUCACUGCACAUUUUCUUGAAAUCAAAUAAAUGUUCUGUUGAUUUAUGACUGAAAACCUAAUAGUCAUUUUUGUGUAAUGUUUUGUUUGAAAAGUAUUUUAUCCAUUCAAUACAUGUCACUUGCUUUGAUAUUUUAUCUAACGCAAUAACAUUUUAAACUGUAACUGAAGUGUCCAAAUAUCUUUUGGGGACACAUGAAAACAGCAGUUUACUGAUACCCUCAUGAAACAUGUCUUUAAAUUAAAUCACACUGAAUUACAAUUAAUAAGGCACUUACUCAAUGCAUAUUUUCUUAAAUUUUUUUAUUUUAUUUUUCUAUUCUCACUGCCUCUUGCUUUUAUCAAUGAAUUACAUUGAAGGAGAAAAAAAACAAAUAAAAUAAAUUAAGGAAUUAGAAUUUAUUUUUUAAUCAAUGUUUGAUUUCUAUUGAAUUACAAUUAUUAAUGCAUUUUCUCAGUGCACAUUUUCCUAUAAUAAAUACAAAAUAAUAAAAUAUUUCACCUCUGCC